GUGAAUCAUCGAAUUUUUGAACGCAAAUUGCACUCUCUUCGGAGAGUAUGCCUGUUUGAGGUUCAGCCUAAAAAAAAACCGACAUAGUCGCUGUUUCGCGGUGACUUUCGUCGGAAAUUGGGUCAUCUUAAACCUUUGGGUUUUAAGCGGCUUAAAAUUUUCUUUUGGUUCCAUGAACCGUUCUUAGAUUUAUUUCCUUAAUAGUUAAUGGU
This 212-nucleotide unclassified non-coding RNA is filed under the name Glomus sp. RNAcentral's name for it is "partial contains 5.8S ribosomal RNA and internal transcribed spacer 2". The stretch from base 1 to 65 matches the Rfam family "5.8S ribosomal RNA", at positions 84 to 154 of the family's 154-position model. Lineage: Eukaryota; Fungi; Glomeromycota; Glomeromycetes; Glomerales; Glomeraceae. The record is from RNAcentral.